Molecule: long non-coding RNA, 2136 nt
Filed under: Salmo salar (Atlantic salmon)
Lineage: Eukaryota; Metazoa; Chordata; Actinopteri; Salmoniformes; Salmonidae
Description: lncRNA (ENSSSAG00000102294.1)
Source: RNAcentral
UGUAAAGAAAGUUUCCACUGUGACGUUAAUUAACAAGCCUUGUAUUUUCUCUGCGGAGGCGUCAGCAAUGGGGUCAGGGACGAAUACCUCUGCUCCACUGCAGUCAAGGGUCUGAAAAUAUUGACUGUUAAAAUCCUCUGCUCUUAAACUGGAUGGGCUGCUGGUGUUAGUUUAGUUGCUGGUGUUAGUUUAACUGGUGGUGGUGUUAGUUUAGCUGGUGGUGGUGUUAGUUUAGCUGGUGGUGUAAGUUUAACUGUUGGUGUUAGUUUAGCUGGUGGUGGUGUUAGUUUAGCUGGUGGUGUUAGUUUUGCAGGUGGUGGUGUUAGUUUAGCUGGUGGUGGUGUUAGUUUAGCUGGUGGUGGUGUUAGUUUAGCUGGUGGUGGUGUUAGUUUAGCUGGUGGUGGUGUUAGUUUAGCUGGUGGUGGUGUUAGUUUAGCUGGUGGUGGUGUUAGUUUAGCUGGUGGUGGUGUUAGUUUAGCUGGUGGUGUUAGUUUAGCUGGUGGUGUUAGUUUAGCUGGUGGUGGUGUUAGUUUAGCUGGUGGUGGUGUUAGUUUAGCUGGUGGUGGUGUUAGUUUAGCUGGUGGUGGUGUUAGUUUAACUGGUGGUGGUGUUAGUUUAGCUGGUGGUGUUAGUUUAGCUGGUGGUGUUAGUUUAGCUGGUGGUGUUAGUUUAACUGGUGUUAGUUUAGCUGGUGGUGGUGUUAGUUUAGCUGGUGGUGGUGUUAGUUUAGCUGGUGGUGGUGUUAGUUUAGCUGGUGGUGUUAGUUUAGCUGGUGGUGGUGUUAGUUUAGCUGGUGGUGGUGUUAGUUUAGCUGGUGGUGGUGUUAGUUUAGCUGGUGGUGGUGUUAGUUUAGCUGGUGGUGUUAGUUUAGCUGGUGGUGUUAGUUUAGCUGGUGGUGGUGUUAGUUUAGCUGGUGGUGGUGUUAGUUUAGCUGGUGGUGGUGUUAGUUUAGCUGGUGGUGGUGUUAGUUUAGCUGGUGGUGUUAGUUUAACUGGUGGUGGUGUUAGUUUAGCUGGUGGUGGUGUUAGUUUAGCUGGUGGUGGUGUUAGUUUAACUGGUGGUGGUGUUAGUUUAACUGCUGGUGGUGUUAGUUUAACUGGUGGUGGUGUUAGUUUAGCUGGUGGUGUUAGUUUUGCUGGUGGUGUUAGUUUAACUGGUGUUAGUUUAGCUGGUGGUGGUGUUAAUUUAACUGGUGUUGGUGUUAGUUUAGCUGUUGGUGGUGUUAGUUUAGCUGGUGGUGGUGGUAGUUUAGCUGGUGGUGUUAGUAUAGCUGGUGGUGGUGUUAGUUUAACUGGUGGUGGUGUUAGUUUAGCUGGUGGUGGUGUUAGUUUAGCUGGUGGUGUUAGUUUAGCUGGUGGUGGUGUUAGUUUAGCUGGUGGUGGUGUUAGUUUAACUGGUGGUGGUGUUAGUUUAACUGGUGGUGGUGUUAGUUUAACUGGUGGUGGUGUUAGUUUAACUGGUGGUGGUGUUAGUUUAACUGGUGGUGGUGUUAGUUUAGCUGGUGGUGUUAUUAGUUUAGCUGGUGGUGUUAUUAGUUUAACUGGUGGUGGUGUUAGUUUAGCUGGUGGUGCAGUUUGUUUAGCUGGUGGUGCAGUUUGUUUAGCUGGUGGUGUUAGUUUAGCUGGUGGUGUUAUUCAUUUAGCUGUUGUUAGUUUAGUAGUGGUCUACAUACAGUAAUGGGUGCCCAGUAGGCUGGUCAAAGUAGCUGGUGGUGUUAGUUUAACUGGUGGUGUUAGUUUAACUGGUGUUAGUUUAGCUGGUGGUGGUGUUAGUUCAGCUGGUGGUGGUGUUAGUUUAACUGGUGGUGGUGUUAGUUUAUCUGGUGGUGGUGUUAGUUUAGCUGGUGGUGGUGUUAGUUUAGCUGGUGGUGUUAGUUUAACUGGUGGUGGUGUUAGUUUAGCUGGUGGUGUUAGUUUAGCUGGUGGUGGUGUUACUGGUGGUGGUGUUAGUUUAGCUGGUGGUGUUAGUGUAGCUGGUGGUGGUGUUAGUUUAGCUGGUGGUUGUGUUAGUUUAGCUGGUGGUGUUAGUUUAGCUGCUGGUGGUGUUAGUUUAGCUGGUGGUGUUAUUAGUUUAGCUGGUGGUGUUAGUUUAACUGGUGGUGCAGUUUGUUUAGCUGGUGGUGCAGUUUGUUUAGCU